RNAcentral lists this unclassified non-coding RNA (26 nucleotides) under Mus musculus (house mouse). RNAcentral's name for it is "oocyte_clustered_small_RNA3674". The record is from RNAcentral. Lineage: Eukaryota; Metazoa; Chordata; Mammalia; Rodentia; Muridae.
GAGGACCUGUAAGCUACUGGCAAUCA